UACAUUCCGGGAAGCGGGGGAUAGCCCAGGGAAACUUGGAUUAAUACCGCAUGUGAUCGAAAGAUCAAAGACGGGGACCGCAAGGCCUGUCACUUCCCGAUUGGUCCGCGGCCUAUCAGCUAGUUGGUGAGGUAAUGGCUCACCAAGGCUACGACGGGUAGCUGGUCUUAGAGGACGACCAGCCACACUGGAGCUGAGACACGGUCCAGACACCUACGGGUGGCAGCAGUCGAGAAUCUUUCACAAUGGGGGCAACCCUGAUGGAGCGACGCCGCGUGGAG
Molecule: ribosomal RNA, 281 nt
Filed under: uncultured bacterium
Lineage: Bacteria
Description: partial 16S ribosomal RNA
Rfam family: Bacterial small subunit ribosomal RNA
Source: RNAcentral